Molecule: ribosomal RNA, 468 nt
Filed under: uncultured bacterium
Lineage: Bacteria
Description: partial 16S ribosomal RNA
Rfam family: Bacterial small subunit ribosomal RNA
Source: RNAcentral
GACGAACGCUGGCGGCGUGCUUAACACAUGCAAGUCGAACGGAAAUGCCCUGCUUUUGUGGGGUGCUCGAGUGGCGAACGGGUGAGUAACACGUGAGUAACCUGCCCUUGACUUUGGGAUAACUUCAUGAAACUUGGGCUAAUACCGGGUAGGAGCUCCUGCUGCUUGGUGGGGGUUGGACAGUUUCGGCGGUUGGGGAUGGACUCGCGGCUGUUCAGCUUGUUGGUGGGGUAGUGGCUUACCAAGGCUUUGACGGGUAGCCGGCCUGAGAGGGUGACCGGACAAAUUGGGACGGAGAUAAGGCACAGACUAAUACGGGAGGCAGAAGUGGAGAAGAUAGCAUAAUGGGAGGAAGCAUGAUGCAGCGAAGCCGCGUGCGGGAUAAGGGGAUUCGGGUUGGAAACCGAUAUCGCCUGUGACGAAGCGUGAGUGACGGUAAUGGGUAAAGAAGCACCGGCUAACUACGUG